AUACUCGUCUGGCAGGGAAGAUAAAAUGAUCAUGAAGGUGGCUUUCCCAGGGUGAGAUUUAUUUAUUGCACUCUGGGUGUGCAGACCCCUGCAAUUUCCCCGAAAGUGGGAAACUUGGCUGCAUAAUUUGUGUUCUUCCUUGGU
Homo sapiens (human) is the source of this 144-nucleotide small nuclear RNA. Lineage: Eukaryota; Metazoa; Chordata; Mammalia; Primates; Hominidae. The record is from Ensembl.